Molecule: long non-coding RNA, 713 nt
Organism: Nomascus leucogenys (northern white-cheeked gibbon)
Lineage: Eukaryota; Metazoa; Chordata; Mammalia; Primates; Hylobatidae
Exons: 2
Source: RefSeq, a predicted model, not a curated record
UUCCCUCUCUCCCACAAGCACAACCCUUGUUCAUACAUCCAUAUACACUUCUCCCAAAAUCCUGUGCUUAACACAUCUUUACUGAGCACACAGGCGUGCUGGGGCAAACGACGCCUGGGAAUAUGAAGCGAAUGCCACACACCAGAACGCACCCUGGGAGCUGGCCUCCGGUGGGGGAUGCAGGCGUUGAAGACAUAACCACAUGACCGAACUAUCUGCCACCAACUUGUACUAACUUCCAUCUCUCACCCGGGACCAUGCAGCCAGCAGCUCCUCCUGCAAGGGAUCAUGGCUUAGCACCAUCCACCCCAAUGUCUCAGAGCUGCCUCAUUCUGCAGGAGGAGGCCCUUGCAGGGAUGGUGGUGGCAACUGCACAGCAAUGAACAAAACCGCUUUUUAAAUGUCACUAGUAAUUCCCAGGAUCAUGCACAGCUCUAGAAAGCACCGCAGUAACUAUUCCUUGUGAACACCUUGGCACACGAGACACGAAGUGACCCUAUGUGGCUUUCACCCAGGGGGAAUCAUGUCUGGGGCUAAAUACAAGGACAAAGGAGAGAGAAGCCUGGGGGAUGUCGGCUGGGGCGGUAGCAGUCAGAGAGUGAAGGGCUUGAAGGUCAUAUCAAGGAGUCUGAAUUUUGUUGUGUGCAGCACAGAGGGGUGUGGGAGAUGGUUAAGUGGAGAACUAAGAGAACAAUAAGAGACAGUGUACCAGA